Long non-coding RNA from Bradysia coprophila, 191 nucleotides. Lineage: Eukaryota; Metazoa; Arthropoda; Insecta; Diptera; Sciaridae. The record is from RefSeq and is a predicted model, not a curated record.
CACGCCUACAUGAAAUAUAUUAUUAUGCUACUAGAACUGUAAAACGGUAUCUCGGUUCGAGGUGGAGUAGACGGUUCCAGACGAAGUUGAGAGUCUUGUUUACUACAUCGAGAACCAAGAUACCGGUUUCGAGUUCUAGUAGCAGAAAUAGUUUUAUAUAUCGAGCGUAUGAAAGUUCGCUUGUUUGUAAA